AUAAAACUUAAAUGUUAAACCAGACAGUAUAUAUUGUGGGAAGUGUUUUCUGAAUUGUAGUGCAAAAGGUGUGUGUGACUGGACAGAAAGAAUGUGAAAGUGCAUGCUGCUUUUUCAUAAAGAAAAAAGCAAAAUACACGGGUUAACUCAUAAUAUCUGAUUUGGAGUUUCUUAAUUAUAGUCAGGCAGCAGAAUUUGGAAACAAGAGCAAAUAUUAACCUGUUCUUAUAAAUUUUCACAUAAUGUAACAUUUAUUCUUUCAUACAUAAAUUCAACAAAUAUUUAUUGAUUGCUCUAUGCACUCAGAAAAAUGGAAAGAAAACAAAUCUAGGAAAACAAAUUAAGAGCCAGCAAAUAAAUUAAUAACUAUUUAAAAUUAAGGAUUCAAAAAAGUGAUAAUUUUUAGGAAAAUAAAUUACCCUGAAUAAUUCAAUGAAGAGCACAAUAAAAUGUGUCGCACUGGGAUGGACAUGCUAGACAUUGUUGUCGAAAACUCCAGUCUAUUCGAUGGCAAAUUGUUCAAAGUUUACAAAUAUGAGAUGCUUCUUGAGGACCUAGGGGAAGAAUGUUCAGAAACUCCGAAAGUACUUACAAGAGCCACAAUAGAGGGAGCAAGUCUGGCAAGAUCGAGAAAUAGCUAGGGAGUGCAGAUGGCUAAACACAAAGUGAGGAUGAGAGCACCAGGAAUUAAGCUUGGAGAAUUGAGAGAACUGAGACUGAAGUGAAGAAAGCAAAUGAAUUUUAUUCCUUUUUGUUUUUGUUUUUGUUUUUUUGAGACAGAGUCUUGCUCUGUUGCCAGGCGCCAAGCUGGAAUGCAGUGGCGGGAUCUCGGCUCACUGCGACCUCCACCUCCCGAGUUCAAACACUUCUCCUGCCUCAGCCUCCUGAGUAGCUGGGACUACAGAUGGAGUUUCGCUCUUUCACCCAGAUUGGAGUGCAGUCUUGUGAUCUCGGCUCACUGAAACCUCCACCUCCUGGUUUCAAGAUAUUCUCUUGCCUCAGCCUCCCGAGUAGCUGGGAUAACAGAAAAACUUGGAAGCGAAUUCAUUUUACUAUCAAGUAAGCUAUGGCUAUCUACACAGGAGAACUCUAUGCAGCUCUAUAUUUUUAACCGUGAAAAAAAUCUCUGUAUAUGGAAAAAAACAUCUUUUAGGAUUUAUAGGUAAGUAGAAAAAGUGAGCUGUAAAAUAGCAUAUAUGUAACAUUACAUUUUGUGUAAGAGACAAGAAGAACCUAUUUUAAAUAAUUUAAACAACUAAAUAUUGGAAAAAUGAGCACUAUAAUAAUAACAAUAAUAAAAGCAUCUAGAAUGCCAGCGGAUGGGGUACAUGCAUAUAAGUUUGAAGCAAUA
This is a non-coding RNA of Callithrix jacchus (white-tufted-ear marmoset), 1351 nucleotides long. NCBI's taxonomy places the organism in Eukaryota, Metazoa, Chordata, Mammalia, Primates, Cebidae. The record is from RefSeq and is a predicted model, not a curated record.